RNAcentral lists this transfer RNA (65 nucleotides) under Paroster mesosturtensis. RNAcentral's name for it is "tRNA-Tyr". Lineage: Eukaryota; Metazoa; Arthropoda; Insecta; Coleoptera; Dytiscidae. The record is from RNAcentral.
GGUAAAAUGGCUGAAUAUAGGCAAUAAAUUGUAAAUUUAUGUAUGAAAAAGAUUUUCUUUUAUCA